Molecule: ribosomal RNA, 253 nt
Filed under: uncultured bacterium
Lineage: Bacteria
Description: partial 16S ribosomal RNA
Rfam family: Bacterial small subunit ribosomal RNA
Source: RNAcentral
UACGGAGGGUGAGAGCGUUGUUCGGAAUCACUGGGCGUAAAGCGCGUGUAGGCGGCCUCCUAAGUCUGGUGUGAAAGCCCGGGGCUGACCCCCGGAAGUGCAUUGGAUACUGGGAGGCUGGAGUACCGAAUAGGAGGGUGGAAUUCCUGGUGUAGCGGUGAAAUGCGUAGAUAUCAGGAGGAACACCGGUGGCGAAGGCGGCCCUCUGGUCGGAUACUGACGCUGAGACGCGAAAGCGUGGGGAGCAAACAGG